UUUGUUUUUGUUUUUGCUUUUCAGUACCCGAGAUCGAACUCAGGACCUUGCACUUGCAAGGCAGGCACAGCGCCACUGAGCUACAUCCCCAGCCCAACACAAAUAGAUCUUACACAACUGCCAUCGAGUGAAUAAAGAAGGAGUGAGAUUCAGCGUACACAGCCAGUCACACGAGCUGAGAACACUCAUCUGUGACACACGCAUCUUUGGUGACGCUCCAUCCGCAGGUGGAGGGCAGCCUAGAAGGUCGUGUUUAAGGCACUGAGCUUGCAUGUCUCCUGGAUCACUGCUGUCAAACCUUCCUUCUACCCUGGGACGCUCAGGAGCUUCCUCUCUGUGCCCACGGCCCCAGGCUCAUCGCUCUGGCUGGAUUCAUUUCCAACUUUACUCUGCUGCCCAAGCACCCAUCCACUGGGAGAACACAGUCAUUUUCAGAACCUGCUCUGUAUUCUGAUGUGACGUCCAGCCUCUCGUGACCAGGUCUGGAGUUUGCACACACACACAAAAAGAAUCCUCCUCUCAGCCCAACUCUGCUGCAUCAGAGAAAGGGACAUGUUGGUAUUUCCACAGCAGCGUGGGGAGCCAGGAUUCCACGGAAGCUGAGCCAGGAAAGCUGGGACCCUAACCUUUGCACCUGGUUCUGCCCUCCUGCUGGGAGCAGGUGCAAGGGCAGAGAGUUGCAGGCUUGCUAGGAAAGGGUUCUGACCGUGCGAGGGAGGGAAGGGUGAGAUGCUCAUUCAGCAGAUACUGUCCACAUGCCUACUAUGUCCCAGGCACUGUUCUGGGCAUGGCUGACUGGGUAUAAAACAGGCCAGGUCCCUGCCCUCGUGGAGCUAUGGCCACAGCUCAUCCCAGGGCGGAACUGGCCGAGGCCUGAGGAACAGCUCCUGAGCUAGAGAGGGAAUGUGAGGGAGGUUCGCUGAGCCACACCUUGGCUGUGUGGCGGGGAGGGAGACAGGGGUGGUGAUCCCCUCAGCCUCUUUCCCAGAGAGUCAGUCGGCAGCGAGGGUCAUGGCGCUGACUGGAAAGAUGACUGGCGGGGAUGCCAAGUCUCCUCCCUCCACCUCCUAGAGGACACGGACCCGGGCUCCAAAGUUCUAGGUAGACGACAGGUAAUCGGAGAAGCUGUGGGAUGCAACCAGUCACGGUCAAACUAGGUUAAACUGCACCAAGCAAUGCGUUGGAAAGCUCAAGCAGAAAGCCUGAUCCAUGUCAUGCUCAGUACACAACUUCCUUGUCAUCACUGGACAAUGUUUCCAAUUCAAACGCCUCAUUAAUCAUUCAUAACACCACGGAGAGGAACAAGACUCAGAAAACCUGAAGUUGUAGAAGCUUUGCUGUACCCUGGUUUCCGUUCAGACAGCCACACAUCUCACCCUCUGCUGGGAAAAGGCAGGCAACAUCCCUGGGAAUUCUCUCUGCCCGUUUAGGCUUUUAAUUCAGAUCACCCCAUGCCUUCAGAUGUCCUUGGAAAGUACGAGGGUCUCCUGUCCUAGCUGCCACACUUAGCACCCUAAUUCUCGCUUUCCCUUGGCUGCGUUGCAAAGGCCCUACUUGGCAAGCAUCCGUCAAGAUGCCAGAGACCUCUCCCUGCGCCCAUCCUGCGUCCUGGCGCCUGAUCUCAGGCCCUGGCCUUGGCUGCCUCCUCUCCACCCCUCAUCUGCCCUUCAUUUCCCACAAAUGGAUCUGCCCCUCGUGACGUCCUAGCACCCACAGAUAGAGGCGCUGAUGCGAACGCAGCCUUUGUGUAUUGUCAUCGUUUGAACAGCACGGAGAACAGCGAGCUUACGCCCUGUGGAAUGUCACCACAGCCCAGGUCACCGAUCGCCCCCACCUCCGGGAGGACUUUUGAACAUGUGCCAAGCUCUUUCCUGCGCAGGCUACAGUUUUCCCCAAUCCCAGAGAGUGAGAAAAAGUAAAGACAAUGUCUGUUUGUGAGGUUGGGGGUAGAAGGAUGGCGAGGAGAUGGGGAACAGAAGUUAAUAUUUUGAAGUGUUGGGCUGGGGAUGCAGCUCAGUUUGGAACACUUGUCUAGCAUGUGCAAGUCCCUGGGUUCCUCCCCUGGCACAGCAAAUUAAUGUUUAAAAAUUCAGAAGGAGGGUCAUGCAUCCCUUCACAGCAGGAAUACAUUCUGAGGAAUGGGUGCUGUGCUAUGGGACCCAACACAGAAUGUAUUUUCAAGACGCGGGUGUUGUAGGUCAGUCACUGUACAUGGUCUCUUUUGAUGCAAUCUAGAGACACCGUAAACACAAGCUGUACGGCUCUGCUGCCGGAGCACACAGCAGACUCUUUCACAGGAUUUGUUUGUUUGUUUUUGGUAUUACGGAUCAAACUCGGGACCUUGCGAGGCAGGCGGCAGCACCACUGAGCUAAAUCCCUGGCCCUCGUAGGAUUUUUUUGAGUAGAUGUAUACUCUUAAAAUAAAGAUAAAAC
Molecule: long non-coding RNA, 2433 nt
Filed under: Fukomys damarensis (Damara mole-rat)
Lineage: Eukaryota; Metazoa; Chordata; Mammalia; Rodentia; Bathyergidae
Description: lncRNA (ENSFDAG00000032494.1)
Source: RNAcentral